This 489-nucleotide ribosomal RNA is filed under the name uncultured bacterium. Its description in RNAcentral is "partial 16S ribosomal RNA". It matches the Rfam family "Bacterial small subunit ribosomal RNA", at positions 30 to 507 of the family's 1533-position model. The record is from RNAcentral.
UUGAACGCUGGCGGCAGGCCUAACACAUGCAAGUCGAACGGUAACAGGGAUCAGCUUGCUGAUUCGCUGACGAGUGGCGGACGGGUGAGUAAUGUCUGGGAAACUGCCUGAUGGAGGGGGAUAACUACUGGAAACGGUAGCUAAUACCGCAUAACGUCGCAAGACCAAAGAGGGGGACCUUCGGGCCUCUUGCCAUCGGAUGUGCCCAGAUGGGAUUAGCUAGUAGGUGGGGUAACGGCUCACCUAGGCGACGAUCCCUAGCUGGUCUGAGAGGAUGACCAGUCACACUGGAACUGAGACACGGUCCAGACUCCUACGGGAGGCAGCAGUGGGGAAUAUUGCACAAUGGGCGCAAGCCUGAUGCAGCCAUGCCGCGUGUAUGAAGAAGGCCUUCGGGUUGUAAAGUACUUUCAGCGGGGAGGAAGGGAGUAAAGUUAAUACCUUUGCUCAUUGACGUUACCCGCAGAAGAAGCACCGGCUAACUCCGUG